UGAGUAACCUGCCCUUCACUCUGGGAUAACUCCGGGAAACCGGGGCUAAUACUGGAUAUGACUCGAACAGGCAUCUGUUUCGGGUGGAAAGAUUUUAUUGGUGGAGGAUGGACUCGCGGCCUAUCAGCUCGUUGGUGAGGUAAUGGCUCACCAAGGCGACGACGGGUAGCCGGCCUGAGGAGGGCGAUCGGCCACACGUGGGACUGAGACACGGCCCAGACUCCGUACGGGGAGGCAGCA
This 240-nucleotide ribosomal RNA is filed under the name uncultured bacterium. Its description in RNAcentral is "partial 16S ribosomal RNA". It matches the Rfam family "Bacterial small subunit ribosomal RNA", at positions 118 to 353 of the family's 1533-position model. The record is from RNAcentral.